UACGAAGGGGGCUAGCGUUGCUCGGAAUUACUGGGCGUAAAGCGCACGUAGGCGGUCUUUUAAGUCGGGGGUGAAAUCCUGGAGCUCAACUCCAGAACUGCCUUCGAUACUGGAAGACUUGAGUCCGGGAGAGGUGAGUGGAACUGCGAGUGUAGAGGUGAAAUUCGUAGAUAUUCGCAAGAACACCAGUGGCGAAGGCGGCUCACUGGCCCGGUACUGACGCUGAGGUGGCGAAAGCGUG
This 241-nucleotide ribosomal RNA is filed under the name uncultured bacterium. RNAcentral's name for it is "partial 16S ribosomal RNA". It matches the Rfam family "Bacterial small subunit ribosomal RNA", at positions 524 to 763 of the family's 1533-position model. The record is from RNAcentral.